AACGCACAUUGCGCCCUUUAGUAUUCUGAAGGGCAUGCCUGUUCGAGCGUCAUUAUCACUAAUCAAGCCUGGCUUGCUGUUGGACCUCUUGUCGUUAAAAAUCGACAGGCCCUAAAGAUAAUGGCGGCGUUUUUUGGACCCUAGAUGCAACGAGCUUUCAUUAGCACGCGUUUAGUUGGGACCUUUUAACCCGGCCUUUUUUAAACCAAUUUUCUAAGGUUGACCUCGGAUCAGGUAGGAAUACCCGCUGAACUUAA
RNAcentral lists this unclassified non-coding RNA (257 nucleotides) under uncultured fungus. Its description in RNAcentral is "partial contains 5.8S ribosomal RNA, internal transcribed spacer 2, and large subunit ribosomal RNA". Lineage: Eukaryota; Fungi. The record is from RNAcentral.